RNAcentral lists this ribosomal RNA (509 nucleotides) under uncultured bacterium. Its description in RNAcentral is "partial 16S ribosomal RNA". It matches the Rfam family "Bacterial small subunit ribosomal RNA", at positions 28 to 506 of the family's 1533-position model. The record is from RNAcentral.
GACGAACGCUGGCGGCGUGCUUAACACAUGCAAGUCGAACGAAGAGCGAUGGAAGCUUGCUUCUAUCAAUCUUAGUGGCGAACGGGUGAGUAACGCGUAAUCAACCUGCCCUUCAGAGGGGGACAACAGUUGGAAACGACUGCUAAUACCGCAUACGAUCUAAUCUCGGCAUCGAGGAUAGAUGAAAGGUGGCCUCUACAUGUAAGCUAUCACUGAAGGAGGGGAUUGCGUCUGAUUAGCUAGUUGGAGGGGUAACGGCCCACCAAGGCGAUGAUCAGUAGCCGGUCUGAGAGGAUGAACGGCCACAUUGGGACUGAGACACGGCCCAGACUCCUACGGGAGGCAGCAGUGGGGAAUCUUCCGCAAUGGACGAAAGUCUGACGGAGCAACGCCGCGUGAGUGGUGACGGCCUUCGGGUUGUAAAGCUCUGUUAAUCGGGACGAAAGGCCUUCUUGCGAAUAGUGAGAAGGAUUGACGGUACCGGAAUAGAAAGCCACGGCUAACUACGU